CUUUUGUCGAGUUUGGGGCGUUCUCCUACCCGUGCGCUCCGGUAGGGGAUUCGCGGCUCACGCAGGGUGAAUACCCUGGCGCUUCUGAUUAGCACUUCAUGGCAGGAAGACCUCAGGAUAUUUUCACCAAGAGCUGGGUAUUUUAGAGGAGAGGUUUGAGGCUAGGAAGUGAAGUUUAGAGAUGAUCAUUAGUUAGUUUUCCGUCCAGGCACUGUGCCAUUUUAACACCCAACCUUGUUUCCAGAACUCCUCCUCUUCCUCUAAAAAAUCAUCUUCGCGGAAAUGAACAUUGAUUUUACUAAGAACUUUACGGAGAAUCAUGCAUGAAUUGCCAAUUUUCAAAACUUGGAAUAUGGUGUAGAGUCAGAGAAGCUCAGAAUUCCAUAGGACGUGAUGGGUCCUGUCCUGUAACCUCCUAUUUCAGUUUCUGGAUUUAUUGUGGGCUACUGCCGUCUAUGGGGUCGCACAGAGUCGGACACAACUGAAGCGACUUAGCAGCAGCAGCAGUAACAAUGUGACCAUCACCAGUCUGGGUCCACCGUAAGGAAUUCUGCACAUCGUGUAUCAAACUCUGUGGAAGAUCUGCGGAGCAGAACUUCCUGAUGGGCCAUCCUGUGGUCCCUGUGCGUGCGUGCAUGCUAAGUUGCUAACCAUCAUGCAAAAGAUGAAACUGAAGCAAGAAGACGUCUUUGACUGGAAAGUGAUUAGAACACCUAAUCCUCCAGUUAUAGCCUAUCCACAGUGAGCUUUAUCUCGGAGGCACCCAAGGCCACAUCUCUCCGCCCCAGCAGCUCUCACCUGCCUCCCUUGGUCUCGGAAGAACUCUCCAGUAUUCUCAAUGACCUGUUCAUCUGACAGCUGGGAAUAGGGCUGUUCCUGGCAAAAGG
Molecule: long non-coding RNA, 887 nt
Organism: Cervus elaphus (red deer)
Lineage: Eukaryota; Metazoa; Chordata; Mammalia; Artiodactyla; Cervidae
Exons: 4
Source: RefSeq, a predicted model, not a curated record